Pelobates cultripes (western spadefoot toad) is the source of this 339-nucleotide non-coding RNA. Lineage: Eukaryota; Metazoa; Chordata; Amphibia; Anura; Pelobatidae. The record is from the annotation of a GenBank genome assembly.
CUCAAUUCUCUGGCAUUUACGAGUUAAAUCACUUUUGUUUCUGUCCGUGAAGCCCUAGCCACACCUCACCUGACUGGUUUCAUUUUUAAUCACAUGUAACUUCUGAAGUUUUUACAUCUUGCUUUGUAAAUUGAACUAUAAAUACACAGGAGGCUCUGCAAGGUCUAGCAAGCUAAUAACAGAGCAAGAGAUAAGAAAUUAUAAAUUAACCCCUUAAGGACACGUGACAUGUCAUGAUUCCCUUUUAUUCCAGAAGUUUGGUCCUUAAGGGGUUAAACAGAAUGUGCAAUAAAGGUAGUUUAAACAUUAGAUCUCACAUUACAGGAAGUUAAAUCAUUU